AGCCACCUGUUCUGAUGGAUGCUUAUAGAGAAUCUUGUUAGAGACAGAGAUCAAGGAUGUGGACAUCAUAGCAUUUGUGUUUGUUUGAUGAGUCUCACACUGUGGUGACAGGACUACAGCACAGUUGGACCAAAGCUGGCUGAGAAUUAACUCAGAGUGGAGUUGGUGGGAGUUUGAGCAUGCCCACAAUCCACUACACGGCACAUCUGAAAUCUGUAAAGGAUAUUUUCCUCUUCAUCUCCAUUUUAAGAAGAUAUUACUGAUUACAAGUUAUACUUCCUGUCCUACCCGAUUCUAUUCUUUAGUGUUCGUUUACUCUGAUUCCUGGGAAAAAUAAAUAAAUAAAUAAAAAUUGCUGGAGUACUGUCUACAAUUGGGAAAUCCAUCACAUUAUACAGCAAUACCUUUACCCAUCCAUUCUUAAGUAGUCAAGUAUCCACAUGAGAUUUUUUAAUCUUAUUUUGCAGCUAGGUAGCUGCAAAUAACUGCAUAGCAUCUGAACUACAGAGGGAUGUGGAAAGAUGUUGACCCCCAUGAGGUUACUGUCAAAGUGGAAAGUCAGUUUUCAUUUUAAUCUUUGUAACUCUUCAAAAUUAAUGUAAUUGUCCAUUUACAUCUUCCUUCAAUGAGUUGUCCACAUCAGUGAGAUUACAAGAUGACAGAUUUAUUUCCAUUAUUAUUGCUUCAGUAUGAAACUUAUCACUACUUUUAUAAAAUUAUGAGCUCUGUUUGUUCCUAUGUUUUUGUCCUUCUAAACGUCCAUUGCUAAAAGUCUUUCACUGGAUAAUGCUUUGAGUACAUUAUCAAACCUUUUCGUAAUGACUCAUACAGAGUUGAG
Molecule: long non-coding RNA, 838 nt
Organism: Cygnus atratus (black swan)
Lineage: Eukaryota; Metazoa; Chordata; Aves; Anseriformes; Anatidae
Exons: 3
Source: RefSeq, a predicted model, not a curated record